RNAcentral lists this ribosomal RNA (498 nucleotides) under uncultured bacterium. RNAcentral describes it as "bacterial SSU rRNA". It matches the Rfam family "Bacterial small subunit ribosomal RNA", at positions 21 to 507 of the family's 1533-position model. The record is from RNAcentral.
GGCUCAGGACGAACGCUGGCGGCGUGCUUAACACAUGCAAGUCGAACGGAGUGCCUAUGAUAGAGACUUCGGUCAAUGGAUUAGGUUACUUAGUGGCGGACUGGUGAGUAACGCGUGAGGAACCUGCCCUUCAGAUGGGGACAACAGCUGGAAACGGCUGCUAAUACCGAAUACGUCUUUUUGUCGCAUGGCAGAGGGAAGAAAGGGAGGCUCUUCGGAGCUUUCGCUGAAGGAGGGGCUUGCGUCUGAUUAGCUAGUUGGAGGGGUAACAGCCCACCAAGGCGACGAUCAGUAGCCGGUCUGAGAGGAUGAACGGCCACAUUGGGACUGAGAUACGGCCCAGACUCCUACGGGAGGCAGCAGUGGGGAAUAUUGCACAAUGGGGGAAACCCUGAUGCAGCAACGCCGCGUGAGUGAUGACGGCCUUCGGGUUGUAAAGCUCUGUUUCCAGGGACGAUAAUGACGGUACCUGGGGAGGAAGCCACGGCUAACUACGUG